AUUGAACGCUGGCGGCAUGCUUUACACAUGCAAGUCGAACGGCAGCACGGGUGCUUGCACCUGGUGGCGAGUGGCGGACGGGUGAGUAAUACAUCGGAACGUAUCCAGAAGAGAGGGAUAACGCAUCGAAAGAUGUGCUAAUACCGCAUAUUCUCUGAGGAGGAAAGCAGGGGAUCGAAAGACCUUGCGCUUUGGGAGCGGCCGAUGUCUGAUUAGCUAGUUGGUGGGGUAAAGGCCUACCAAGGCGACGAUCAGUAGUUGGUCUGAGAGGACGACCAGCCACACUGGGACUGAGACACGGCCCAGACUCCUACGGGAGGCAGCAGUGGGGAAUUUUGGACAAUGGGGGAAACCCUGAUCCAGCCAUGCCGCGUGUGUGAAGAAGGUCUUAGGAUUGUAAAGCACUUUAAGUUGGGAGGAAGGGCAGUUAACUAAUAUUUGACUGUUUUGACGUUACCGACAGAAUAA
Molecule: ribosomal RNA, 468 nt
Filed under: uncultured bacterium
Lineage: Bacteria
Description: bacterial SSU rRNA
Rfam family: Bacterial small subunit ribosomal RNA
Source: RNAcentral